AUGCCCUGUCAUGUCCUGCCCCAAACUCUUUCUGCUGUGAUGUUUCUGAUCAGGUCUGAUUUUGUUUCUGGCUGUGUGUUGCAGGAUGUUCACCUCUUCUGUCUACGGUCCUGUUUUCUUUUGCAUCAGUUUGCUGAGUGCAUACUCGGUGCGUCCCACCACUGGCACAAGAAGAAGAGCCGUAAACAAGACAUCCUGAAUAAGCUUUGCUGUCAAUGUGGGUUUGUGGAAACAGAUGACCUACAAUGGAUUGCCUGCAAUAGUUGCAACAAGUGGUUCCAUCAGGGAUGCGUCAACUCUCCAGCAGUGGACAAAGAAUAGGAAUGUGUUGUGUGCAUUGUCUAAAGUGUUUUCAUUAUUUUAUUUUUAUUUCAUUGUGUUGAAAUGCCCUUUUUUAUACUUUUAUUUAUAUUUUUUGCUGUAUGUUCAAUUGAUCUUUUUAAAACUGUACAUAGUUCCAUGUUGACUUUUUAUUAAAUUAUUUGAAUUAAAUUGCUUUUGCCUAAUUAAUUACUGUAGCAUAAAUUGUUUUACUUAUUAUAUGUAUGUGCGAAUUAUAUUUGACCCAUAUUACAUGUUUGAUUUAAAUAUUAAAAUGUAAUAGAUCUGACAAUUUUUUUCAAAACACAUAACUUUAUCUGGCA
Denticeps clupeoides (denticle herring) is the source of this 644-nucleotide long non-coding RNA. NCBI's taxonomy places the organism in Eukaryota, Metazoa, Chordata, Actinopteri, Clupeiformes, Denticipitidae. The record is from Ensembl.